UGAACGCUGGCGGCAGGCCUAACACAUGCAAGUCGAGCGGAUGAAGGGAGCUUGCUCCUGGAUUCAGCGGCGGACGGGUGCGUAAUGCCUAGGAAUCUGCCUGGUAGUGGGGGAUAACGUCCGGAAACGGGCGCUAAUACCGCAUACGUCCUGAGGGAGAAAGUGGGGGAUCUUCGGACCUCACGCUAUCAGAUGAGCCUAGGUCGGAUUAGCUAGUUGGUGGGGUAAAGGCCUACCAAGGCGACGAUCCGUAACUGGUCUGAGAGGAUGAUCAGUCACACUGGAACUGAGACACGGUCCAGACUCCUACGGGAGGCAGCAGUGGGGAAUAUUGGACAAUGGGCGAAAGCCUGAUCCAGCCAUGCCGCGUGUGUGAAGAAGGUCUUCGGAUUGUAAAGCACUUUAAGUUGGGAGGAAGGGCAGUAAGUUAAUACCUUGCUGUUUUGACGUUACUAACAGAAUAAGCACCGGCUAACUUCGUG
This 482-nucleotide ribosomal RNA is filed under the name uncultured bacterium. RNAcentral's name for it is "partial 16S ribosomal RNA". It matches the Rfam family "Bacterial small subunit ribosomal RNA", at positions 30 to 507 of the family's 1533-position model. The record is from RNAcentral.